RNAcentral lists this ribosomal RNA (374 nucleotides) under uncultured prokaryote. Its description in RNAcentral is "bacterial SSU rRNA". It matches the Rfam family "Bacterial small subunit ribosomal RNA", at positions 524 to 896 of the family's 1533-position model. The record is from RNAcentral.
GACGGAGGGAGCAAGCGUUGUUCGGAUUUACUGGGCGUAAAGGGCGUCUAGGCGGACUAGUCAGUCAGAUGUGAAACCCCCCGGCUCAACCGGGGAACUGCAUUUGAUACUACUAGUCUUGAGUACGGAAGAGGAAAGCGGAAUUCCUGGUGUAGCGGUGAAAUGCGUAGAUAUCAGGAAGAACACCGGUGGCGAAGGCGGCUUUCUGGUUCGAUACUGACGCUAAAGCGCGAAAGUGUGGGGAGCAAACAGGAUUAGAUACCCUGGUAGUCCACACUGUAAACGAUGGAUACUAGGUGUCGGGGGUAUCGACCCCCCCGGUGCCGCAGCUAACGCAUUAAGUAUCCCGCCUGGGGAGUACGGUCGCAAGGCUG